This 117-nucleotide ribosomal RNA is filed under the name Diaphorina citri (Asian citrus psyllid). Lineage: Eukaryota; Metazoa; Arthropoda; Insecta; Hemiptera; Psyllidae. The record is from RNAcentral.
GCCAGCCGUGGUAGCAACUUGGACCAUUAGUUUCAAAUGGAUCACUGAAGUUAAGCAACGUUGCGCGUGGUUGGUAUCCGGAUGGGUGACCACCUGGGAAAUUGUGUGCAGCUGGCU